RNAcentral lists this ribosomal RNA (282 nucleotides) under uncultured Methylophilus sp. RNAcentral describes it as "partial 16S ribosomal RNA". It matches the Rfam family "Bacterial small subunit ribosomal RNA", at positions 1206 to 1487 of the family's 1533-position model. Lineage: Bacteria; Pseudomonadati; Pseudomonadota; Betaproteobacteria; Nitrosomonadales; Methylophilaceae. The record is from RNAcentral.
GGCCAGGGCUUCACACGUAAUACAAUGGUCGGUACAGAGAGUUGCCAACCCGCGAGGGGGAGCUAAUCUCAGAAAGCCGAUCGUAGUCCGGAUUGUUCUCUGCAACUCGAGAGCAUGAAGUCGGAAUCGCUAGUAAUCGCGGAUCAGCAUGUCGCGGUGAAUACGUUCCCGGGCCUUGUACACACCGCCCGUCACACCAUGGGAGUGGGUUUUACCAGAAGUAGGUAGUCUAACCGCAAGGGGGACGCUUACCACGGUAGUAUUCAUGACUGGGGUGAAGUC